GACGAACGCUGGCGGCGUGCUUAACACAUGCAAGUCGAACGGAAAGGCCCUGCUUUUGUGGGGUUCUCGAGUGGCGAUCGGGUGAGUAACACGAGAGUAACCUGCCCUUGACUUUGGGAUAACUUCAGGAAACUGGGGCUAAUACCGGAUAGGAGCUCCUGCUGCAUGGUGGGGGUUGGAACGUUUGGGCGGGUGGGGAUGGACUCGCGGCUUAUCAGCUUGUUGGUGGGGUAGUGGCUUGCCAAGGAUUUGACCGGUAGCCGGCCUGAGUGGGUGACCGGCCACACUGAGACUGAGGUACGGCACAGACUCCUACGGGAGGAAGAAGUGGGCAAUCUUGCACCAUGGGCAGAAGCCUGAUGAAGAAGCGCCGCGUGCGGGAUAACGGCCUUCGGGUUGUAGACCGGUUUCGCCUGUAACGAAGCGUGAGUGGCGGUAAUGGGUAGAGAAGCCCCCGCUUACUACGUG
RNAcentral lists this ribosomal RNA (468 nucleotides) under uncultured bacterium. Its description in RNAcentral is "partial 16S ribosomal RNA". It matches the Rfam family "Bacterial small subunit ribosomal RNA", at positions 28 to 507 of the family's 1533-position model. The record is from RNAcentral.